CUUCGGGGGGGGGGGGUUAUACGCUGAGAAUCUGCCCUCAGGAGGGGGACAACGGUUGGAAACGACCGCUAAGACCCCAUAUGCCGAGAGGUGAAACAAAUUUUGCCUGAGGAUGAGCUCGCGUCCGAUUAGCUAGUUGGUGUGGUAAGAGCGCACCAAGGCGACGAUCGGUAGCUGGUCUGAGAGGAUGAUCAGCCACACUGGGACUGAGACACGGCCCAGACUCCUACGGGAGGCAGCAGUGGGGAAUUUUCCGCAAUGGGCGAAAGCCUGACGGAGCAAGACCGCGUGAGGGAAGAAGGUCUGUGGAUUGUAAACCUCUUUUGACAGGGAAGAAGUUCUGACGGUACCUGUCGAAUCAGCCUCGGCUAACUCCGUGCCAGCAGCCGCGGUAAUACGGAGGAGGCAAGCGUUAUCCGGAAUUAUUGGGCGUAAAGCGUCCGUAGGCGGAUGUUCAAGUCUUCUGUCAAAGCGCGGAGCUCAACUCCGUAAAGGCAGAGGAAACUGAGCGUCUAGAGUGCGAUAGGGGCAAGGGGAAUUCCCAGUGUAGCGGUGAAAUGCGUAGAUAUUGGGAAGAACACCGGUGGCGAAAGCGCCUUGCUGGGUCUGCACUGACACUGAGGUAC
This 626-nucleotide ribosomal RNA is filed under the name Leptolyngbyaceae cyanobacterium GF08a. RNAcentral's name for it is "bacterial SSU rRNA". It matches the Rfam family "Bacterial small subunit ribosomal RNA", at positions 93 to 754 of the family's 1533-position model. The record is from RNAcentral. Lineage: Bacteria; Bacillati; Cyanobacteriota; Cyanophyceae; Leptolyngbyales; Leptolyngbyaceae.